UCACAAGGUGAGGUCCCAGAUGGAUGUGAAUUUGUGGGACACUAUUCAACCUACUACAUAUGGCAUAAUAAUAUAUUAGAGAGCUUUAUAGCUUUCAAAACAUUUUUAAGAAAUGAAAUAACACAGAAAGGCAUGCAGUCACCUUUUUCCAGGAUGCUGUGAAGAACUCUGAGCUUACUGAAUGAGGACUGUGGCCUCUGAGAUCCCUGAUUCUACGUAAUCCAGAUAAGAAGUAUCUCAAGGCUCCCAAAGAGACUACAAUAUCAUCGUGGUGCACGACAAGAGGCAGAAGGAUGGAAAAAGAUGUCUUUCAUCUCGGGAUGGUUAGUCGUCUAUGAAAGGGCAGAGAAAGGAUGAGAACAGGAUGCUUCAACCACUGUUACAUCCUCUUCAGCAGUAAUUGCUGGGGCCGAGUCUUACCUGAAAACACCCAAAGGUAACACCACAGCGAGAACUUUUUCCUUGUGAAGUCCAAUUUAGCCUACGUGAAAAACAUCCUGAUGUCUUUAUUUAAGAUUGCUUAUUUUGUCUGUUUAUUUUACAACCUGCCAAACAAUAACCAUGGCCUUAUCAGGCUAAAGAAUGUGCAGCUCUUUCCUGAUCUGUGCUUUAUGUAUUUGUUUUGUCAUAAUAAAAUUCCCCACACUAAAUAACAAUGUUUGUUUGAAAGCUGCCUUGCCAUCCAUCUAGGUCCUAGAUAAAUAACAUGAUGCUCACAGAGUUUCUCUCUAAACACAAGCUACUUCCAAAAUAAAACUGAUAUUUUAUUAAUAUAUUUCAGUUUUUCCCACCAGCAAGAU
This is a long non-coding RNA of Felis catus (domestic cat), 800 nucleotides long. RefSeq lists it as uncharacterized. The transcript has 3 exons. Lineage: Eukaryota; Metazoa; Chordata; Mammalia; Carnivora; Felidae. The record is from RefSeq and is a predicted model, not a curated record.